RNAcentral lists this ribosomal RNA (305 nucleotides) under uncultured bacterium. Its description in RNAcentral is "bacterial SSU rRNA". It matches the Rfam family "Bacterial small subunit ribosomal RNA", at positions 335 to 638 of the family's 1533-position model. The record is from RNAcentral.
CUGCCUACGGGGGGCAGCAGUGAGGAAUAUUGGUCAAUGGCCGAGAGGCUGAACCAGCCAAGUCGCGUGAGGGAUGACGGCCCUACGGGUUGUAAACCUCUUUUGUCGGGGAGCAAGACCCGCCACGAGUGGCGGAGCGAGAGUACCCGAAGAAAAAGCAUCGGCUAACUCCGUGCCAGCAGCCGCGGUAAUACGGAGGAUGCGAGCGUUAUCCGGAUUUAUUGGGUUUAAAGGGUGCGCAGGCGGGCCAGCGAGUCAGCGGUAAAAUCGUGGGGCCCAACCCCAUCCCGCCGGUGAAACUGGCG